This 497-nucleotide ribosomal RNA is filed under the name uncultured bacterium. Its description in RNAcentral is "partial 16S ribosomal RNA". It matches the Rfam family "Bacterial small subunit ribosomal RNA", at positions 28 to 507 of the family's 1533-position model. The record is from RNAcentral.
GAUGAACGCUGGCGGCGUGCCUAAUACAUGCAAGUCGAGCGAACAGAUGAGGAGCUUGCUCCUCUGACGUUAGCGGCGGACGGGUGAGUAACACGUGGAUAACCUACCUAUAAGACUGGGAUAACUUCGGGAAACCGGAGCUAAUACCGGAUAAUAUAUUGAACCGCAUGGUUCUAUAGUGAAAGACGGUUUUGCUGUCACUUAUAGAUGGAUCCGCGCCGCAUUAGCUAGUUGGUAAGGUAACGGCUUACCAAGGCAACGAUGCGUAGCCGACCUGAGAGGGUGAUCGGCCACACUGGAACUGAGACACGGUCCAGACUCCUACGGGAGGCAGCAGUAGGGAAUCUUCCGCAAUGGGCGAAAGCCUGACGGAGCAACGCCGCGUGAGUGAUGAAGGUCUUCGGAUCGUAAAACUCUGUUAUUAGGGAAGAACAAAUGUGUAAGUAACUGUGCACGUCUUGACGGUACCUAAUCAGAAAGCCACGGCUAACUACGUG